AAAUAGCUGUCUAGUAUAGCAAUUAUACCGCGAAACUGCGAAUGGCUCAUUAUAUAAGUUAUCGUUUAUUUGAUAGUACCUUACUACUUGGAUAACCGUGGUAAUUCUAGAGCUAAUACAUGCUAAAAAUCCCGACUUCGGAAGGGAUGUAUUUAUUAGAUUAAAAACCAAUGCCCUUCGGGGCUCACUGGUGAUUCAUGAUAACUCCUCGAAUCGCAUGGCCUUGUGCCGGCGAUGGUUCAUUCAAAUUUCUUCCCUAUCAACUUUCGAUGUUUGGGUAUUGGCCAAACAUGGUUGCAACGGGUAACGGAGGGUUAGGGCUCGACCCCGGAGAAGGAGCCUGAGAAACGGCUACUACAUCCAAGGAAGGCAGCAGGCGCGCAAAUUACCCAAUCCCGACACGGGGAGGUAGUGACAAUAAAUACUGAUACAGGGCUCUUUUGGGUCUUGUAAUUGGAAUGAGUACAAUUUAAAUCCCUUUAACGAGGAACAAUUGGAGGGCAAGUCUGGUGCCAGCAGCCGCGGUAAUUCCAGCUCCAAUAGCGUAUAUUAAAGUUGUUGUGGUUAAAAAGCUCGUAGUUGAACCUUGGGCCUGGCUGGCCGGUCCGCCUCACCGCGUGUACUGGUCCGGCCGGGCCUUUCCCUCUGUGGAACCCCAUGCCCUUCACUGGGUGUGGCGGGGAAACAGGACUUUUACUGUGAAAAAAUUAGAGUGCUCCAGGCAGGCCUAUGCUCGAAUACAUUAGCAUGGAAUAAUAGAAUAGGACGUGUGGUUCUAUUUUGUUGGUUUCUAGGACCGCCGUAAUGAUUAAUAGGGACAGUCGGGGGCAUCAGUAUUCAAUUGUCAGAGGUGAAAUUCUUGGAUUUAUUGAAGACUAACUACUGCGAAAGCAUUUGCCAAGGAUGUUUUCAUUAAUCAGGAACGAAAGUUAGGGGAUCGAAGACGAUCAGAUACCGUCGUAGUCUUAACCAUAAACUAUGCCGACUAGGGAUCGGACGGUGUUAUUUUUUUGACCCGUUCGGCACCUUACGAGAAAUCAAAGUGCUUGGGCUCCAGGGGGAGUAUGGGUCCGCAAGGGCUGAAACUUAAAGGAAAAUUGACGGAARGGCACCACCAGGGGUGGAGCCUGCGGCUUAAUUUGACUCAACACGGGGAAACUCACCAGGUCCAGACACAAUGAGGAUUGACAGAUUGAGAGCUCUUUCUUGAUUUUGUGGGUGGUGGUGCAUGGCCGUUCUUAGUUGGUGGAGUGAUUUGUCUGCUUAAUUGCGAUAACGAACGAGACCUUAACCUGCUAAAUAGCCCGUAUUGCUUUGGCAGUACGCUGGCUUCUUAGAGGGACUAUCGCUCAGCCCGAUAAU
This 1362-nucleotide ribosomal RNA is filed under the name Fusarium oxysporum. RNAcentral describes it as "SSU rRNA". Lineage: Eukaryota; Fungi; Ascomycota; Sordariomycetes; Hypocreales; Nectriaceae. The record is from RNAcentral.